RNAcentral lists this transfer RNA (75 nucleotides) under Caudoviricetes sp. Its description in RNAcentral is "tRNA-Arg". It matches the Rfam family "tRNA". From Rfam's summary of the family: Transfer RNA (tRNA) molecules are approximately 80 nucleotides in length. Their secondary structure includes four short double-helical elements and three loops (D, anti-codon, and T loops). The record is from RNAcentral. Lineage: Duplodnaviria; Heunggongvirae; Uroviricota; Caudoviricetes.
GCGGUUGUAGUUCAACGGAUAGAACACGAACCUUCUAAGUUUGGGAUGGGGUUUCGAUUACCUUCAGCCGCACCA